GGCGCCAUAGUGUAGUGGUUAGCACGCCUUCUUUACACGCAGAAGGUCCUGGGUUUGCACCCCAGGUGGAGCCA
RNAcentral lists this transfer RNA (74 nucleotides) under Pteropus alecto (black flying fox). It matches the Rfam family "tRNA". From Rfam's summary of the family: Transfer RNA (tRNA) molecules are approximately 80 nucleotides in length. Their secondary structure includes four short double-helical elements and three loops (D, anti-codon, and T loops). Further hydrogen bonds mediate the characteristic L-shaped molecular structure. tRNAs have two regions of fundamental functional importance: the anti-codon, which is responsible for specific mRNA codon recognition, and the 3' end, to which the tRNAs corresponding amino acid is attached (by aminoacyl-tRNA synthetases). tRNAs cope with the degeneracy of the genetic code in two manners: having more than one tRNA (with a specific anti-codon) for a particular amino acid; and 'wobble' base-pairing, i.e. permitting non-standard base-pairing at the 3rd anti-codon position. The record is from Rfam by way of RNAcentral. Lineage: Eukaryota; Metazoa; Chordata; Mammalia; Chiroptera; Pteropodidae.